UACAGAGGAUGCAAGCGUUAUCCGGAAUGAUUGGGCGUAAAGCGUCUGUAGGUGGCUUUUUAAGUCCGCCGUCAAAUCCCAGGGCUCAACUCUGAACAGGCGGUGGAAACUACCAAGCUGGAGUACGGUAGGGGCAGAGGGAAUUUCCGGUGUAGCGGUGAAAUGCGCAGAUAUCGGGAGGAACACCGGUGGCGAAGGCGGUUCUCUGGGCCUUACCUGACGCUGAGGAGCGAAAGCGUGGGGAGCGAACAGG
Molecule: ribosomal RNA, 253 nt
Filed under: uncultured bacterium
Lineage: Bacteria
Description: partial 16S ribosomal RNA
Rfam family: Bacterial small subunit ribosomal RNA
Source: RNAcentral